This is a long non-coding RNA of Engraulis encrasicolus (European anchovy), 1061 nucleotides long. RefSeq lists it as uncharacterized. The transcript is spliced from 4 exons. Lineage: Eukaryota; Metazoa; Chordata; Actinopteri; Clupeiformes; Engraulidae. The record is from RefSeq and is a predicted model, not a curated record.
AAUGAAGUUUUGAAUGGGUUUCAAUGGCUCCAAGCCCAGGUUGUCCACCAGCAGCGGUAGAUCACCACCAGGGGGCAGCACUAUGACGUCAGCUGCAACCCAAGAAUUUCCCCCUUACUGUGGCUAGUUUGGAUGAGAUGACUUGACCCUAGCUAGCAUAACAUAAAUGGCAGCUAGCUCUACACUAUUUCGGGCAUUCGUUAACAAUCAGUGUUCAGAUAACUAGCGCAAACGUGCCGAGAUAUCUUGUUUAUUAUAAAAAUAAACGCUUGUGUUGUGCCAUGGCUUAUAUGGUGAUGACGUUUGAGAUUGUAAAUUUACGGGCCACAGAUGUGUCUAUGGUAAGGCCGACCUGACGAGAUAGCUGCCUACUGAGGUUUGGAUAUGGACAUUGUUUAUUUCAGAAGGAAAAUGUUUGGAGUGGAAUUGUUUGGAAGACAAUCUUGGGACAAUUUUGCUCUUUGGGUCUUUGUGCCAACCAUGCCAGCUAUCGUAGGGUGCUCUGGGAACUUCUUAGAUCUGUUUACUGUAUGUACACUUACUGAAAUAAGCAUUUUGUUUACAUAAAAUCCCUUGUCAUUUCACCACUAGGUUUGAAACCCAGACAGCACGAAGCAUCUUGCCGACGUCAAAAUCAGAUCAACAGACAGGGACAUCAGCCUUCUCUUGGGAAUAGGCCAGAUAUGCCAUAACAAGAAAUGGUGUUUUGCCCCUGCGGUUGUGAAGAGGAUGCUGUGGAGGUGGCAGCAUGAACGUGUCACACAGACAUUGGCUAAACUACUCGGCUUCUACACUUGCCCUCAGAGUUCACAUAUGGUGAAGUGCACAGGUGUCCAGUCAGGUUCAGACUGAUGCUGGUAACAAGAGGAAAACAUGCUAAUUGAUGACCUUUCCAGCAUGUCCAACUCAUCAGCAUCAGGGGAGGAGAGUCGGUGAAGGUGGUGCACCAUCCAGGACCAGUCAUGGGCCACCAACACCUCUGCAAAAUCUGCACUUCUUGUGAACCCUCUAGAAGACACUACAACCACAAAACUGCUAAUAAACCAUCACAUACUACAUCA